UCGGACGGGUGAGUAACGCGUGAGAAUCUGGCCUAGGGUGGGGGACAACCACUGGAAACGGUGGCUAAUACCGCAUAAGCCUGAGGGUGAAGGAUUAAUUGCCUAAGGAUGAGCUCGCGUCUGAUUAGCUGGUUGGUAGGGUAAGAGCCUACCAAGGCGACGAUCAGUAACUGGUCUGAGAGGAUGACCAGUCACACUGGGACUGAGACACGGCCCAGACUCCUACGGGAGGCAGCAGUGGGGAAUUUUCCGCAAUGGGCGAAAGCCUGACGGAGCAAUACCGCGUGGGGGAGGAAGGCCCUUGGGUUGUAAACCUCUUUUCUCAGGGAAGAAUACUGACGGUACCUGAGGAAUCAGCCUCGGCUAACUCCGUGCCAGCAGCCGCGGUAAUACGGAGGAGGCAAGCGUUAUCCGGAAUGAUUGGGCGUAAAGCGUCCGCAGGUGGCAGUGCCAGUCUGCUGUCAAAGCUCAGGGCUUAACCCUGAACAGGCAGUGGAAACUGCACAGCUAGAGUGCGGUAGGGGCAGAGGGAAUUCCUGGUGUAGCGGUGAAAUGCGUAGAGAUCAGGAAGAACACCGGUGGCGAAAGCGCUCUGCUAGGCCGCAACUGACACUCAGGGACGAAAGCUAGGGGAGCGAAUGGGAUUAGAUACCCCAGUAGUC
Molecule: ribosomal RNA, 662 nt
Filed under: uncultured cyanobacterium
Lineage: Bacteria; Bacillati; Cyanobacteriota
Description: bacterial SSU rRNA
Rfam family: Bacterial small subunit ribosomal RNA
Source: RNAcentral